RNAcentral lists this transfer RNA (70 nucleotides) under Ovis aries (sheep). It matches the Rfam family "tRNA". Rfam says of the family: Transfer RNA (tRNA) molecules are approximately 80 nucleotides in length. Lineage: Eukaryota; Metazoa; Chordata; Mammalia; Artiodactyla; Bovidae. The record is from Rfam by way of RNAcentral.
UCUUGUGGCUCAGAUAGUAAAGAAUCUGCCUGCAAUGCAGGAGAUCCAGGUUCAGUUCCUGGCUCUGGAA